Molecule: ribosomal RNA, 433 nt
Filed under: uncultured bacterium
Lineage: Bacteria
Description: partial 16S ribosomal RNA
Rfam family: Bacterial small subunit ribosomal RNA
Source: RNAcentral
AACGAACGCUGGCGGCAUGCCUAACACAUGCAAGUCGAACGAGACCUUCGGGGCUAGUGGCGCACGGGUGCGUAACGCGUGGGAACCUGCCCUUAGGUUCGGAAUAACUCCCCGAAAGGGGUGCUAAUACCGGAUAAUGUCUUCGGACCAAAGAUUUAUCGCCUUUGGAUGGGCCCGCGUUGGAUUAGCUAGUUGGUAGGGUAAAAGCCUACCAAGGCGACGAUCCAUCGCUGGUCUGAGAGGAUGAUCAGCCACACUGGGACUGAGACACGGCCCAGACUCGUACGGGAGGCAGCAGUGGGGAAUAGUAGAGUUUGGGCGAAGGCCUGAUCCAGCCACGCCGCGUGAGGGAUGAAGGCGUUAGGGCUGUAACGCCCUCUUACCCGCGAUGAUAAUGACAGUACCGGGCGAAGAAGCUCCGGCUAACCACGUG